This 492-nucleotide ribosomal RNA is filed under the name uncultured bacterium. Its description in RNAcentral is "partial 16S ribosomal RNA". It matches the Rfam family "Bacterial small subunit ribosomal RNA", at positions 29 to 507 of the family's 1533-position model. The record is from RNAcentral.
AGUGAACGCUGGCGGUAGGCCUAACACAUGCAAGUCGAACGGCAGCACAGUAAGAGCUUGCUCUUACGGGUGGCGAGUGGCGGACGGGUGAGGAAUACAUCGGAAUCUACUUUUUCGUGGGGGAUAACGUAGGGAAACUUACGCUAAUACCGCAUACGACCUACGGGUGAAAGCAAGGGAUCUUCGGACCUUGCGCGAUUGAAUGAGCCGAUGUCGGAUUAGCUAGUUGGCGGGGUAAAGGCCCACCAAGGCGACGAUCCGUAGCUGGUCUGAGAGGAUGAUCAGCCACACUGGAACUGAGCCACGGUCCAGACUCCUACGGGAGGCAGCAGUGGGGAAUAUUGGACAAUGGGCGCAAGCCUGAUCCAGCCAUACCGCGUGGGUGAAGAAGGCCUUCGGGUUGUAAAGCCCUUUUGUUGGGAAAGAAAAGCAGCAGGUUAAUACCCCGCUGUUCUGACGGUACCCAAAGAAUAAGCACCGGCUAACUUCGUG